CUGCAAAUCUCCGCUGUGGUUGUUUCCUUCCCCCUCACCGCGCCUCCAUCUUCAAUCUCGCCGCACCACCGAAUAUGGCAUCUUCUGAAGCACCAUCAUCACAACCACCAUCACAAGAAGCAUCUUCAUCUCAAAGUUUAGUUCCAAAUAAUGUUAGAGGAAAGACUGAUAUAGCUUGGUCACAUUGUAUAGAAGUCCUGAUGGAAAAUCUCUUGUUUGUAUGUACUGUCACAAAUCUUUUGGUAGAGGUGGAAUUCAUAGGGUAAAGCAACACUUGGCUGGAAUAGUAGGAAAUGUUGAAAUUUGUAAGAGAGGAGAUUGAGAAGAGGUUUAGAAGAAAUAAGUUGAAAGUAGAGCCUUAUUUGAAGAUCUUGGAUAACCAUUGGGAUGCACAACUUCAGAAAAAUCUUCAUGAUGCUGGUUAUUGGUUAAAUCCAUCUUGUAGGUUUGGUCUGGAAUAUGAAAAAAACAAGUCCACCACCCAAGGCCUUUUGGAUGUCAUUGAAAAGUACGCUUAUGAUAGUAAGGACUUGCGAUCUAAAUUAACUGUUGAGAUGACUUCAUUCAAAAAUUGUGAAGGUAGUUUUGGAAGGACAACGGUAGUAGAAAACCGAGAUGAAGUUUUUCCCGAUCAAUGGUGGGAUACUUAUGGAACCGAAGCGCCAAAUUUGCAAAAGCUGGCUAUUUGGAUUUUGAGUCAAACUUGUAGUGCAUCUGGUUGCGAACGAAAUUGGAGUGUGUUUGAACACAUUCAUUCAAAAAAGAGAAAUAGGUUGGAGCAUCAAAAGCUUAAUGAUCUCGUUUAUGUCUGUUACAAUUUACGGCUACAAAAUAGUUAAUGAUUUGUAGAACCAAGAAGAAACAAAAUUAUGAUCCUAUUAAUUUUGAAACACUUGGUGAUCAUUCUAAUUGGGUGUUGGAGGAUUCACCACCAUUCUUGACCAUUGAGGAGGUGGAAGCGCUACGCAAAGAUCUUGCUAGUAUGACAAUCCAACCUAUUUCAAAUGAUAUUGAUGAAUUAAAUCUGGAUGAGGUUGAUGUUGAGGGAGAUGCAUCAUUUAACUCCGGAGAAAACAACCAAAGUAAUGAUAUCAUUGAUGGGGAAGAUGUUGCAAAUGCGGUUGAUUUUGUCGAAGAUGGUUUUGAUAUUGAAGGAGAUUCCAACAUUGAGAUAAUUUUACCUCCUUGGAACUAAAUUUAAUAGAUAUUUGAGUGUUUUGGUUCUAAAGUACUUAAUUAGUUUAUGUUGCAAUUAGACUUUGUAAUUUGUACUACUUUGUUAUCUGUAAUACUUAUGUUUAAAUUUGAACUAAAUUUGUGAUUUUUAAGU
RNA transcript from Vicia villosa (hairy vetch), 1330 nucleotides. RefSeq lists it as uncharacterized. NCBI's taxonomy places the organism in Eukaryota, Viridiplantae, Streptophyta, Magnoliopsida, Fabales, Fabaceae. The transcript is spliced from 5 exons. The record is from RefSeq and is a predicted model, not a curated record.